This 435-nucleotide ribosomal RNA is filed under the name uncultured bacterium. RNAcentral describes it as "bacterial SSU rRNA". It matches the Rfam family "Bacterial small subunit ribosomal RNA", at positions 355 to 787 of the family's 1533-position model. The record is from RNAcentral.
UGAGGAAUAUUGGUCAAUGGGCGGGAGCCUGAACCAGCCAAGUCGCGUGAGGGAAGACGGUCCCAUGGAUUGUAAACCUCUUUUGUCGGGGAGCAAAGAGGCCACGUGUGGUCAAAAGCGAGAGUACCCGAAGAAAAAGCAUCGGCUAACUCCGUGCCAGCAGCCGCGGUAAUACGGAGGAUGCGAGCGUUAUCCGGAUUUAUUGGGUUUAAAGGGUGCGUAGGCGGGACGGUAAGUCAGCGGUAAAAAUGCGGAGCUCAACUCCGUCGAGCCGUUGAAACUGCCGUUCUUGAGUGAGCGAGAAGUAUGCGGAAUGCGUGGUGUAGCGGUGAAAUGCAUAGAUAUCACGCAGAACUCCGAUUGCGAAGGCAGCAUACCGGCGCUCAACUGACGCUGAAGCACGAAGGCGUGGGUAUCGAACAGGAUUAGAUACCC